This 140-nucleotide small nucleolar RNA is filed under the name Mus pahari (shrew mouse). RNAcentral describes it as "snoRNA (MGP_PahariEiJ_G0034280.1)". It matches the Rfam family "Small nucleolar RNA SNORA42/SNORA80 family", at positions 28 to 136 of the family's 136-position model. Rfam says of the family: The members of this family belong to the H/ACA class of snoRNAs that guide the sites of modification of uridines to pseudouridines. The record is from RNAcentral. Lineage: Eukaryota; Metazoa; Chordata; Mammalia; Rodentia; Muridae.
AUAUGGAAAAAAUAAUUAAUUAAAACUGAGCCCCUGGGCCUCUCACAGUAUCCCAUGCUAGAGCAAACUGUGGCUCCUAACCAUUGCCCGGUCGGCCUCUGUGCCUACAGGCUGCUGGCUCUGCAGUGGGUCACACAGUG